GACGAACGCUGGCGGCGUGCUUAACCCAUGUAAGUCGAACGGAAAGGCCCUGCUUUUGUGGGGUGCUCGAGUGGCGAAAGGGUGAGUGACACGUGAGUAACCUGCCCUUGACUAUGGGAUACCUUCAGGAGACUGGGGCUGAUACCGGCUCGGAGCUCCUCCUGCGUGGUGGGGGUUGGGAAGUCUCAUCCGAUGGGGCUGGACUCGCGGCUUAUCAGCUUGUUGGUGGGGUAGUGGCUUACCAAGGCUUUGACGGGUAGCCGGCCUGAGAGGGUGACCGGCCACAUUGGGACUGAGAGACGGCCCAGACUCCUACGGGAGGCAGCAGUGGGGAAUAUUGCACAAUGGGCGGAAGCCUGAUGCAGCAACGCCGCGUGCGGGAUGACGGCCUUCGUGUGGUAAUCCGCUUUCGCCUGUGACGAAGCGUGAGUGACGGUAAUGGGGAAAGAAGCACCGGCUAACUACGUG
Molecule: ribosomal RNA, 468 nt
Filed under: uncultured bacterium
Lineage: Bacteria
Description: partial 16S ribosomal RNA
Rfam family: Bacterial small subunit ribosomal RNA
Source: RNAcentral